GAUGAACGCUGGCGGCGUGCCUAAUACAUGCAAGUCGAGCGAACAGACGAGGAGCUUGCUCCUCUGACGUUAGCGGCGGACGGGUGAGUAACACGUGGAUAACCUACCUAUAAGACUGGGAUAACUUCGGGAAACCGGAGCUAAUACCGGAUAAUAUAUUGAACCGCAUGGUUCAAUAGUGAAAGACGGUUUUGCUGUCACUUAUAGAUGGAUCCGCGCCGCAUUAGCUAGUUGGUAAGGUAACGGCUUACCAAGGCAACGAUGCGUAGUCGACCUGAGAGGGUGAUCGGCCACACUGGAACUGAGACACGGUCCAGACUCCGACGGGAGGCAGCAGUAGGGAAUCUUCCGCAAUGGGCGAAAGCCUGACGGAGCAACGCCGCGUGAGUGAUGAAGGUCUUCGGAUCGUAAAACUCUGUUAUUAGGGAAGAACAAAUGUGUAAGUAACUAUGCACGUAUUGACGGUACCUAAUCAGAAAGCCACGGCUAACUACGUG
Molecule: ribosomal RNA, 497 nt
Filed under: uncultured bacterium
Lineage: Bacteria
Description: partial 16S ribosomal RNA
Rfam family: Bacterial small subunit ribosomal RNA
Source: RNAcentral